Molecule: long non-coding RNA, 161 nt
Organism: Zingiber officinale
Lineage: Eukaryota; Viridiplantae; Streptophyta; Magnoliopsida; Zingiberales; Zingiberaceae
Exons: 2
Source: RefSeq, a predicted model, not a curated record
UGCAAGAAAUCUUGAAAGAAGAAUUCUAGAAGUUAACAGAAAAAGGGUCAAAGUUGUUAAACUUGGUUCUAAGACUUCAUUUCCCAAUACUGAAAUUCGUGGAACCUAUGCCCCUCCUUUUCAUGUUGAGCUAUACCGGAACGACCCGCACCGAUUCAAGA